This 465-nucleotide ribosomal RNA is filed under the name uncultured bacterium. RNAcentral describes it as "partial 16S ribosomal RNA". It matches the Rfam family "Bacterial small subunit ribosomal RNA", at positions 338 to 795 of the family's 1533-position model. The record is from RNAcentral.
CCUACGGGAGUCAGCAGUAGGGAAUCUUCCACAAUGGACGAAAGUCUGAUGGAGCAACGCCGCGUGAGUGAAGAAGGGUUUCGGCUCGUAAAGCUCUGUUGGUAGUGAAGAAAGAUAGAGGUAGUAACUGGCCUUUAUUUGACGGUAAUUACUUAGAAAGUCACGGCUAACUACGUGCCAGCAGCCGCGGUAAUACGUAGGUGGCAAGCGUUGUCCGGAUUUAUUGGGCGUAAAGCGAGUGCAGGCGGUUCACUAAGUCUGAUGUGAAAGCCUUCGGCUCAACCGGAGAAUUGCAUCAGAAACUGUUGAACUGGAGUGCAGAAGAGGAGAGUGGAACUCCAUGUGUAGCGGUGGAAUGCGUAGAUAUAUGGAAGAACACCAGUGGCGAAGGCGGCUCUCUGGUCUGCAACUGACGCUGAGGCUCGAAAGCAUGGGUAGCGAACAGGAUUAGAUACCCCAGUAGUC